GACGAACGCUGGCGGCGUGCUUAACACAUGCAAGUCGAACGGAAAGGCCCUGCUUUUGUGGGGUGCUCGAGUGGCGAACGGGUGAGUAACACGUGAGUAACCUGCCCUUGACUUUGGGAUAACUUCAGGAAACUGGGGCUAAUACCGGAUAGGAGCUCCUGCUGCAUGGUGGGGGUUGGAAAGUUUCGGCGGUUGGGGAUGGACUCGCGGCUUAUCAGCUUGUUGGUGGGGUAGUGGCUUACCAAGGCUUUGACGGGUAGCCGGCCUGAGAGGGUGACCGGCCACAUUGGGACUGAGAUACGGCCCAGACUCCUACGGGAGGCAGCAGUGGGGAAUAUUGCACAAUGGGCGGAAGCCUGAUGCAGCAACGCCGCGUGCGGGAUGACGGCCUUCGGGUUGUAAACCGCUUUCGCCUGUGACGAAGCGUGAGUGACGGUAAUGGGUAAAGAAGCACCGGCUAACUACGUGCCAGCAGCCGCGGUGAUACGUAGGGUGCGAGCGUUGUCCGGAUUUAUUGGGCGUAAAGGGCUCGUAGGUGGUUGAUCGCGUCGGAAGUGUAAUCUUGGGGCUUAACCCUGAGCGUGCUUUCGAUACGGGUUGACUUGAGGAAGGUAGGGGAGAAUGGAAUUCCUGGUGGAGCGGUGGAAUGCGCAGAUAUCAGGAGGAACACCAGUGGCGAAGGCGGUUCUCUGGGCCUUUCCUGACGCUGAGGAGCGAAGGCGUGGGGAGCGAACAGGCUUAGAUACCCUGGUAGUCCACGCUGUAAACGGUGGGUACUAGGUGUGGGGUCCAUUCCACGGGUUCCGUGCCGUAGCUAACGCUUUAAGUACCCCGCCUGGGGAGUACGGCCGCAAGGCUAAAACUCAAAGGAAUUGACGGGGCCCCGCACAAGCGGCGGAGCAUGCGGAUUAAUUCGAUGCAACGCGUAGAACCUUACCUGGGUUUGACAUGGAUCGGGAGUGCUCAGAGAUGGGUGUGCCUCUUUUGGGGUCGGUUCACAGGUGGUGCAUGGCUGUCGUCAGCUCGUGUCGUGAGAUGUUGGGUUAAGUCCCGCAACGAGCGCAACCCUUGUUCACUGUUGCCAGCACGUUAUGGUGGGGACUCAGUGGAGACCGCCGGGGUCAACUCGGAGGAAGGUGGGGAUGACGUCAAGUCAUCAUGCCCCUUAUGUCCAGGGCUUCACGCAUGCUACAAUGGCUGGUACAGAGAGUGGCGAGCCUGUGAGGGUGAGCGAAUCUCGGAAAGCCGGUCUCAGUUCGGAUUGGGGUCUGCAACUCGACCUCAUGAAGUCGGAGUCGCUAGUAAUCGCAGAUCAGCAACGCUGCGGUGAAUACGUUCCCGGG
This 1343-nucleotide ribosomal RNA is filed under the name uncultured bacterium. RNAcentral's name for it is "16S ribosomal RNA". It matches the Rfam family "Bacterial small subunit ribosomal RNA", at positions 28 to 1378 of the family's 1533-position model. The record is from RNAcentral.